AGACCCCAGUGUGGGAAGGAAGCCCCUGGGUCCCACAGAAGGUCCAGAAGGUGGAUAAACCUCUAAGAUAAUAGCAUGAAAUUUGCCAUAAUGAUAUCAUCAGCAGGUCAGAUGGGACACAAGCGUCUGUGGAUUUACUUUCAACUCCACUGCCACAUAUUAGUGGAGACUCCAGGAGUGGAUGAAUUUUUUGCAGAUGAGUCUCCUUCUCCUUGUCUCAACUUCUCUUCCAACUAAAGACUCCCAUAAAACACGCUAUCUGCAGAAUUCUCAGGAGGGAAGAGAAGUUGAGCCAUAACCUCCUAACCUCUGCGGCACACCCUCGGCCAGCAACCUCAUUCUCCUUCUGGCAUUUGGAGGGCUCUGUGGAUCCCUUGCCCUCAGAAAUGCUAUCAACAUAAUGAAAGUUGAGAUGAAAAUUAAUCAUUUGCUGAGCUUCCUCCUGCAUCUGUUUUAAAACCUUCUGAGGGUGAGAGGAAUCUGUAGAACCUUGGAAGGCUGUGCUGGGAUUCCCACUGACUAUACUGGGAAAUCUGAGGUGAUCCAUUCGAAGCAGUUAUUAGGAAGAAAUGAGAUGACACUGUUUCUCAGCAUUUGAGAUCAAGAACCUCAGAUUGGAACAGGUAUUGUCCCUGAUUUCUCAUAGUUGUCU
This 652-nucleotide long non-coding RNA is filed under the name Sus scrofa (pig). Its description in RNAcentral is "lncRNA (ENSSSCG00035005379.1)". The record is from RNAcentral. Lineage: Eukaryota; Metazoa; Chordata; Mammalia; Artiodactyla; Suidae.